RNAcentral lists this ribosomal RNA (445 nucleotides) under uncultured bacterium. Its description in RNAcentral is "bacterial SSU rRNA". It matches the Rfam family "Bacterial small subunit ribosomal RNA", at positions 354 to 796 of the family's 1533-position model. The record is from RNAcentral.
GUGAGGAAUAUUGGUCAAUGGGCGACAGCCUGAACCAGCCAUCCCGCGUGAAGGAAGAAUGCGCUAUGCGUUGUAAACUUCUUUUCCAGGGGAAUAAAAUGCCGUACGUGUAUGGUACUGAAGGUACCCUGGGAAUAAGCAUCGGCUAACUCCGUGCCAGCAGCCGCGGUAAUACGGAGGAUGCGAGCGUUAUCCGGAUUUAUUGGGUUUAAAGGGUGCGUAGGCGGGAUGAUAAGUCAGUGGUGAAAACCUGCAGCUUAACUGUAGACUUGCCGUUGAUACUGUUGUUCUUGAGUAUGGUCAAGGCAGGCGGAAUGUGUAAUGUAGCGGUGAAAUGCUUAGAUAUUACACAGAACACCGAUAGCGAAGGCAGCUUGCUGGGCCUGUACUGACGCUGAUGCACGAAAGCGUGGGGAUCGAACAGGAUUAGAAACCCCUGUAGUCC